GUCAUCGUGAAGGGCAAUGUGUGACUCCUGUAAAACAGGUCUGCUUUAUGGUCUGUGGCUGAGCAAGCAGGAAAGCAGAUGACAGAGGCAAAAGGAAACAUGAACUCUGGGGACUCCGAGGUCCAGCUUACUACCAGGAUGUGUAGGUUGUAGACGUUGAUGAUAAAAAGGGUCUACCGGAACCUGACAAAUACAGAGGUGGAUGUGCAGGGAUGUGCGAGGAGUCGGGUGAAGCCCUGGCGGAGGUCUUCUGUCUUGUCAGUUCUUCUUGAGAUAGUGGAGGUGGAAGAGCAUUGGUGGAGGAACUCUUCCUGAAUUCCAUCUUAUGCUCUUUGACUGCUGCAUACACCAUUUUGGAAAAUAUGCAGAAGAUUGUCAAUGCAGGAUGACACGAGGGGCUCUAUUAUCAAUCAAGCAUACUACAGUUUGUGCCACAAGAGGAAAGCAAUUACUAAGGUGGAAUUGGGCUGUAAACAGUGUGUAAUCAAAGAUGCUAGAAAGAGUGCAAAUAACUGAGGGAUGAUGAUACAUCACAGCGAAGACAGGAGCUUGGCAGGGAGACACAGCCAGUGCUUCAAUUCAGUGAACAUCCUGGUAUCUCCUCAUCCCAUUGACAUGAGACCCCUUGAGCCCAGCAUCUUACCGACACUGGAUGUUGGUGGCC
This 664-nucleotide small RNA is filed under the name Rattus norvegicus (Norway rat). RNAcentral's name for it is "uncharacterized LOC108348424". Lineage: Eukaryota; Metazoa; Chordata; Mammalia; Rodentia; Muridae. The record is from RNAcentral.